This 465-nucleotide ribosomal RNA is filed under the name uncultured bacterium. Its description in RNAcentral is "partial 16S ribosomal RNA". It matches the Rfam family "Bacterial small subunit ribosomal RNA", at positions 338 to 795 of the family's 1533-position model. The record is from RNAcentral.
CCUACGGGAGGCAGCAGUAGGGAAUCUUCCACAAUGGGCGAAAGCCUGAUGGAGCAACGCCGCGUGGGUGAAGAAGGUCUUCGGAUCGUAAAACCCUGUUGUUAGAGAAGAAAGUGCGUGAGAGUAACUGUUCACGUUUCGACGGUAUCUAACCAGAAAGCCACGGCUAACUACGUGCCAGCCGCCGCGGUAAUACGUAGGUGGCAAGAUUUAUCCGGAUUUAUUGGGCGUAAAGGGAACGCAGGCGGUCUUUUAAGUAUGAUGUGAAAGCCUUCGGCUUAACCGGAGUAGUGCAUUGGAUACUGGGAGACUUGAGGGCAGAAGAGGAGAGUGGAACUCCAUGUGUAGCGGUGAAAUGCGUAGAUAUAUGGAAGAACACCAGUGGCGAAAGCUGCUCUCUGGGCUGUAACUGACGCUGAGGUUCGAAAGCGUGGGUAGCAAACAGGAUUAGAUACCCCUGUAGUC